UCGAGAAUCUUUCGCAAUGCCCGAAAGGGUGACGAAGCGACGCCGCGUGUGGGAAGAAGGCCUUCGGGUUGUAAACCACUGUCGGGAGUUAGGAAAUGCAGGUGCGUUAAUAGCGCACUUGCUUGACUAAGGCUCCAGAGGAAGCCACGGCUAACUCUGUGCCAGCAGCCGCGGUAAUACAGAGGCGGCAAGCGUUGUUCGGAAUUAUUGGGCGUAAAGAGCACGUAGGCGGCCUUGCAAGUCAGUUGUGAAAGCCUUCCGCUUAACGGAAGAACGGCAUCUGAUACUACAGGGCUUGAGUACGGGAGGGAGGUGGAACUUCUGGUGGAGCGGUGAAAUGCGUAGAUAUCAGAAGGAACGCCGGCGGCGAAAGCGACUCUCGUGGUCCGAAACUGACGCUGA
Molecule: ribosomal RNA, 402 nt
Filed under: uncultured bacterium
Lineage: Bacteria
Description: bacterial SSU rRNA
Rfam family: Bacterial small subunit ribosomal RNA
Source: RNAcentral